CAAUCUGCCCGACCUUUUCGAUCCAACGGCCUAGUGCCAACGACUCCAGUCCAGUGUGCGCUCAAUAAUUUCUUGCAUCCAUAAGGCGCACGAUAGCUCUUCUCCGCUGUGAGCAGUUUUUGUUCCCUUUAGGAUGCGCGUUGCUCCCCUCUUCGCACUCUCUCUUUAACAUCCCCGCCAGUUUCAUGUUUUCUCCGCCUUUCUUUAAAUUUGGAGUUAGUUAUUGACAGUUAAAAAGCAAUUGUUUCGGCAUUUCAGGUACGUUUAUGUGAAUGCAAUGUGAGCAUGUCCAUAUUGAUAAGAUGUAUAUUUUGGAUCCUACGCAAUUGUUGCAUGCAGAUUUUGUAUAAAAGUUUGCUUCUUUCCUGUUGGGUUAUCUUUUAUGUAUGUAGGUUAGUGGGUUUUGAUGGGAUUAGAUAGCUUAAGGAGAUAAGUGGAUCUAAGGGAGAUGUUUUGGACUCAUUUUAAACCUCUUUUGAUGCCCUUUUUGUCCUGAACAAAUAGCACC
This 508-nucleotide unclassified non-coding RNA is filed under the name Hevea brasiliensis (rubber tree). The record is from RNAcentral. Lineage: Eukaryota; Viridiplantae; Streptophyta; Magnoliopsida; Malpighiales; Euphorbiaceae.